CUGCCUGAUACUUAUUCAGCAGUGUCCCAGCAUCAGGAGAGUUCCCUAUUUCUGUGUUGCUCUCAACCUCACAGAGGAAAGGACAGACUCCAAGCUGACUGUGUUCUCCAAGAGAGCCACAGUGUGUUCUGAGGUCCUGGAAGGGGCAUGGAUGGGGGAGCCUGGCUGAGCAUAGUGAAAGACUGGAUAGAGCCAAGGUUUCCCAGAACUGGGUUGUCUCCAUUUCACCAACUAAAAAACACAAGGGAAGGAGAGGACCCUGAUGUGGUGUAUAGCCCACACUCACAACUCUACUGUUCUGGGGGCUGAGGCAAGAGGAUCCUGAAAGUCUUUCUCCAAAAAGAUAAAAGGAAAGUAAUAGAAAACAGGAAAGAAAGGAGGGAAAGGCAUGCUGGUGGCGAGGGGGAGGGAGGACCCAACCCAGCUGGUCUCUUGUCUCUCCCAUCUUUCCCCAUAUGACACCCUCAGGUCCCCAUUCUCUCCCCUGACACAGACUUGCCAGAGGGAAUCGGGACUCCAAAGCAAGAUAAACAGAAGGGAAGGGGGCUCAGGAGGCACAUUCCAGAGCUAAAAAUAACAGGGUCAGCUGGCAGCCUCAGCCUUCCUCAGCCCCCCAGGGCCCCAGCCAGUCUCCUCCUCUCUCCCAGCUCUCUACUGGGCCCCAAUCUGGGAAGCCUGACUGCAUCUGCUGAGACCAUGCCAGCAUGGCCUCCUGACUGUACCCUCAGCUAGGGAAGGUGGAAGACCCAACCCCAAUGAGGUUCCCUUCUCCACCAGGUCUAACUAGGCUCAUCAUCUCUUAACCUCUGACCUCCGUUCUCUCUCUCUCUCUUUUUUUUUUUUCUUUUUCUUUUUUUCGGAGCUGGGGACCGAACCCAGGGCCUUGAGCUUGCUAGGCAAGCGCUCUACCACUGAGCUAAAUCCCCAACCCCGACCUCGGUUCUCUUAAUGCUAUCACAAAAUGCAAAAUUUUGGUCCUAUAGGCAAAGGUGGUUUGGGUGCCCCAAGGCCAUUAAAGAUGAGCUCUCCUAGAAACAUACCCUGCACUUAGUAAGCAAUUCUGCUAUUGUGUGAAGAAAAAGGAAGUUCCAGAAAAACAAACAAACAAACAAACGAACAAACAAAAAACUCAUGAUGUACUUACUAUGAACCAGGAAAUUUAGGAGGAAGAACUAGGAAAAUUGCCACAAAUUAGAGGUGUUCCAGCUGUGGGAAACGGAGGCUUCGCGCCGCAAGGAAAGAGCCAAAGUCGUCCAGGGCUACUCUGAAAAGAGAGCACCUCCAAAACCAUGCUAAAGCCAAGCACAGUGGCAGAUGCCUGAAAUCUGAGCAUUUAGGAAGCAGAGACAGAAGGAACGGAAGUCUAGGGGCAGCCUGUGCUACAUACCUGUCAAACUUAAGGCAACGCGGGCCACCUGAGAUCAUGUCUCACAAAAACAAGAGCAAAAGCUCUCUACCCAAACAACAUGUACAUCUGUGUACAGUGCCAUUGACACAACAGGGUCUGUCCUUGUACACUCUAUGAUGUAGAACUCUCACCUCCUUCUCCAGCACCAUGUCUGCCUGAAUGCCGCCAUGCUUCCUGCCAAGAUGAUAAUGGACUGAACCUCUGAAACUGUAAGCCAGGUCCAAUGAAAUGUUUUCCUUAUUAAGAGUCGCCAUAACAUAGAAAAACCUUGUCUCUAAAAUAAAAGUUGUCAUGGUCA
Rattus norvegicus (Norway rat) is the source of this 1706-nucleotide non-coding RNA. The record is from RefSeq and is a predicted model, not a curated record. NCBI's taxonomy places the organism in Eukaryota, Metazoa, Chordata, Mammalia, Rodentia, Muridae.